This 992-nucleotide ribosomal RNA is filed under the name Salmonella enterica subsp. enterica. RNAcentral's name for it is "partial 23S ribosomal RNA". It matches the Rfam family "Bacterial large subunit ribosomal RNA", at positions 161 to 1191 of the family's 2925-position model. The record is from RNAcentral. Lineage: Bacteria; Pseudomonadati; Pseudomonadota; Gammaproteobacteria; Enterobacterales; Enterobacteriaceae.
AAUCCAUAGGUUAAUGAGGCGAACCGGGGGAACUGAAACAUCUAAGUACCCCGAGGAAAAGAAAUCAACCGAGAUUCCCCCAGUAGCGGCGAGCGAACGGGGAGGAGCCCAGAGCCUGAAUCAGCAUGUGUGUUAGUGGAAGCGUCUGGAAAGGCGCGCGAUACAGGGUGACAGCCCCGUACACAAAAGCGCAUGUGUUGUGAGCUCGAUGAGUAGGGCGGGACACGUGGUAUCCUGUCUGAAUAUGGGGGGACCAUCCUCCAAGGCUAAAUACUCCUGACUGACCGAUAGUGAACCAGUACCGUGAGGGAAAGGCGAAAAGAACCCCGGCGAGGGGAGUGAAAAAGAACCUGAAACCGUGUACGUACAAGCAGUGGGAGCACAGGUUUACCUGUGUGACUGCGUACCUUUUGUAUAAUGGGUCAGCGACUUAUAUUCUGUAGCAAGGUUAACCGUAUAGGGGAGCCGGAGGGAAACCGAGUCUUAAUUGGGCGUUAAGUUGCAGGGUAUAGACCCGAAACCCGGUGAUCUAGCCAUGGGCAGGUUGAAGGUUGGGUAACACUAACUGGAGGACCGAACCGACUAAUGUUGAAAAAUUAGCGGAUGACCUGUGGCUGGGGGUGAAAGGCCAAUCAAACCGGGAGAUAGCUGGUUCUCCCCGAAAGCUAUUUAGGUAGCGCCUCGUGAAUUCAUCUCCGGGGGUAGAGCACUGUUUCGGCUAGGGGGCCAUCCCGGCUUACCAACCCGAUGCAAACUGCGAAUACCGGAGAAUGUUAUCACGGGAGACACACGGCGGGUGCUAACGUCCGUCGUGAAGAGGGAAACAACCCAGACCGCCAGCUAAGGUCCCAAAGUCAUGGUUAAGUGGGAAACGAUGUGGGAAGGCCCAGACAGCCAGGAUGUUGGCUUAGAAGCAGCCAUCAUUUAAAGAAAGCGUAAUAGCUCACUGGUCGAGUCGGCCUGCGCGGAAGAUGUAACGGGGCUAAACCAUG